AUUACCUCUAAGUGAUCAAGUGAAAAAUGCAAGAAUUUCAUAAGGAAU
Molecule: small nucleolar RNA, 48 nt
Filed under: Oryza sativa (Asian cultivated rice)
Lineage: Eukaryota; Viridiplantae; Streptophyta; Magnoliopsida; Poales; Poaceae
Description: box C/D snoRNA J22.1
Source: RNAcentral